This 134-nucleotide ribosomal RNA is filed under the name Botrytis sp. RNAcentral describes it as "partial large subunit ribosomal RNA". Lineage: Eukaryota; Fungi; Ascomycota; Leotiomycetes; Helotiales; Sclerotiniaceae. The record is from RNAcentral.
AAGCGCUUGCAAUCAGACUUGCACUUGGUGUUCAUCAGGGUCUCGUACCCUGUGUACUUCAUCAAGUUCAGGCCAGCAUCAGUUUGAGUGGUUAGAUAAAGGCGGCGGGAAUGUGGCUCUCUUCGGGGAGUGUU